AACGAACGCUGGCGGCGCGCCUAAUACAUGCAAGUCGAGCGAGAAGGUGUAGCAAUACACUUGUAAAGCGGCGAACGGGUGAGGAAUACAUGGGUAAUCUACCAUCGAGUGGGGAAUAACCAACCGAAAGGUUGGCUAAUACCGCGUACGCCUCCGAGUCUUCGGGUUCGGAGGGAAAGCUGCACUGUGAGUGUAGCGCUCUUUGAUGAGCUCAUGUCCUAUCAGCUUGUUGGUAGGGUAACGGCCUACCAAGGCUUUGACGGGUAGCUGGUCUGAGAGGACGAUCAGCCACACUGGCACUGCGACACGGGCCAGACUCCUACGGGAGGCAGCAGUAAGGAAUAUUGCGCAAUGGGCGAAAGCCUGACGCAGCGACGCCGCGUGGGGAUGAAGGUCUUCGGAUUGUAAACCCCUUUCGGGAGGGAAGAUGGAGCGAGCAAUCGUUCGGACGGUACCUCCAGAAGCAGCCACGGCCAACUUCGUGCCAGCAG
Molecule: ribosomal RNA, 491 nt
Filed under: uncultured bacterium
Lineage: Bacteria
Description: bacterial SSU rRNA
Rfam family: Bacterial small subunit ribosomal RNA
Source: RNAcentral